Molecule: ribosomal RNA, 253 nt
Filed under: uncultured bacterium
Lineage: Bacteria
Description: partial 16S ribosomal RNA
Rfam family: Bacterial small subunit ribosomal RNA
Source: RNAcentral
UACGUAGGGGGCAAGCGUUGUCCGGAUUUAUUGGGCGUAAAGAGCGUGUAGGCGGCCAGGCAGGUCCGCUGUGAAAACUCGAGGCUCAACCUCGAGAGGUCGGUGGAAACCGUUUGGCUAGAGUCCGGAAGAGGAGAGUGGAAUUCCCGGUGUAGCGGUGAAAUGCGCAGAUAUCGGGAAGAACACCCGUGGCGAAGGCGGCUCUCUGGGCCGAUACUGACGCUGAGGAGCGAAAGCAUGGGUAGCGAACAGG